GUUUUCGCAACUUUUAGCUGCAAGGCCUCGAACUGGUACGGAGUCCUGUAGACAGGGCACGGAAGACCGUAUAGCCAAGAGCGCAGCGAGAGGUUCUCCGAUGGCGGUGACCUCGAGUUCUCUCCGUGCUCGGUGCCGGGCCCCAGGUAGCAGAGCCAAAGAUUUAAGCCACAAAAGAUCCAUUGGCUGCUAUGGGAAAAGCAGGAGCCACUUUCAUGGUAUGAAUGAUGCGGGCCUUGUGGUAAGAAAGGCAAUCACUGAAUGUCAGGACACCCUUACAGGGAUCUUGCCAUAUGAGCAACUUGAGCAGAUGGUUGUGUGAUUUUAUCGACUGCCUUUAAGCUGCCUGAACUGCAGUACCCUCCUCUGGCGCUAGCAAAGGAAUGCAUGCCGUCAAAUGCAUGAGAGCCAGAUCAGAGAGGAAUUGAACUGGGAUGAGGUGUCGGAAUCAAUUAACCUUUCUGAGAAUACUAAGACAAGCCUGAUCUUUUGGUGCCCUUCCAUAUUUCUGUUCUUGACUAAAUUUUUUGUGUUGCUGUUGACCAGAAGACUGGAUGGAGUUGAAUUGGUUCAGCUUUUUCAGCAGGAAAUUAUGCUGAGAGCGUUAUCAACAAGCUCAGGGAAUAUGGCUGCGACAACCUAUCCUGUGAGUUGAUGAGUGGGCAACUCCAAGGGCUGUUCAAAGUUGAGCUCUCUACAGGAUAAUUGGAGUCACUUGGAUUCCAGAUGGAAGCUCUUUUGCUCUGUUUGUUUUCCUUUUUUCUUUUUCUUUUUAAAUUUUGCUUCAAAAACUUCAGAAUCUUUAAGAGGCUGUAUAUGCUUCAAGAACUUGAAUCGAAGUUCUGAUUGGAUAGUCCUGCUGCUAUUUGAAGUCCAGAGGAUCAUUUUGACUGUUGACUGUUGUAGUUUGUUAGGCAUGGUUAUUUGCUUCUUGUUCAUGGUUAAUACCCACAUGGUCACAUAGAAAAAAGUUCAUAGACGGAUAAUCACAUGCUGAAAUCCGUGUUUCUCACUUUUUUGCCCUGUUCUCCUUAAGAUGUGCCAUAUGUUUGACGUUCUGUUGGGUGGACUACUCUGUUUUGAGUUGCUGCAAUUAGAUUUUGAUUAAGUACUA
Phoenix dactylifera (date palm) is the source of this 1114-nucleotide long non-coding RNA. RefSeq lists it as uncharacterized. Lineage: Eukaryota; Viridiplantae; Streptophyta; Magnoliopsida; Arecales; Arecaceae. The record is from RefSeq and is a predicted model, not a curated record.